UUUAGUACCCAUUAGACUUAAAUUUAGAACUAAAUUAACUAUUAAGGUAUUAUUGAACAGCUUUAUUUACUGGUAUGAUCUCUAUAGUUCAUCUCAAAGAUACACACCUUGGGAAUUUAACUAGCAUACAUACACAUGAGUAGCAGUCAAACUAAAUUCUGAGUAUGACCAAACGUGAAGGGUGAGAAAGUACAUAAUUUGUGUAUCAGUUUAAAAUCUUAUAAGUUUAAGGUAUAUAAUUGUUGAAAAUAUGCUGCACAGACUUACGUUUUGACCUUUCAAAAAAAUAAAAGUGCUAAUGAACUUUCCAUUCUUGGAUACAAAUUCGUACGAAACUUCAGUGUAAAAAUGGUACAGUUAAAGCUGUAAAAGAAGCUGAGAAAUCACACUGU
Molecule: long non-coding RNA, 392 nt
Filed under: Mytilus galloprovincialis (Mediterranean mussel)
Lineage: Eukaryota; Metazoa; Mollusca; Bivalvia; Mytilida; Mytilidae
Source: RNAcentral